UAAUAAAACAUUUAUUUAUGUUUUCCAAUCACAGGACAGUAACACCCAAACAUAUACUUAAGUAUAUUUCGUAAUUACUUAACCUACUAAAAUUAAGUAUCAAAAUAAUAUAAAUAAAAACUUGUAUAAUAAAAUUAACCUAUAGUAAUGGCGUUUACAUGAAUAUGAUUAUGCUUUUACAGUUCUAGUUUAAUUGUAACCGGUUAUGGUCAGUUGUAACCAGUUAUGGAUAUUGUCAAUUAUAGGUAACUUUCCACGGUAUGUAUUGUCUUGUUAAGCACAUAACAAGUUCUAGGACAAACUUAGGACAAACGAUAAAAAUACCAUCUUUUCACAACUCUUUUUAGUCGUUUUUUUGUCUUCCAUAUUUAUUUCAGUCUAGGUAAUUAAGGGAUUUAAAUUUGGCUUUAUUUUGGCACAUUGUUUGUUCUAUACCUAAAUAGAGAAAUAUUUAAACAGUUAUGGUACAUUUCAGAUUACAAUUUACUGUAUGUUAUAAACACUUUUUCAGAGUAAAGUCCCAUAAAUUUAAGAGUAUUUUUUGUCGAUGUAUGAAGACUAUUAUUAUUUCAACAUGGAGCAGGUACUAGAUAUUUGCCUUUACUUUUCUCAUGCCUAAUAUUCUUAACUCAAUUAAAUUGCGGUUAUUAAAAAAACAGCUGUCUAUAUCUAAUACAUAAUAACGUGAGGAAGGUGACCAUUACUGGAAAUUAGAUAUACAGCCUGAUUCUAAUUUAAACAUACUUCAAAAAUAAGUUAUAAAUACGAUAUGCAUAGAACUUGUUUUUGACGUGUAUUGAAAUUAAAAUAGGAUCUUCAGACAGUUGUUUAGUUGAUAAUCGCCAUUUUUCACUCAAACAUUUUUAUGGUAAAAAGUUGAGAGUAGGGUCAGUAAUUCCACCAUUAUUUUCUGACUUUUUAGUAACCUGCAAUAAUUUACGAUAUUGAUAAAUAAGGGUUAUGUAAUCAAUUUUACUAUGGAACCGAUCGCGAAAAAAAUUGGCUGUUUUUUUUUAAAUUUUACUUACAUAAUCCACGGACUGGUCGUUUUUGUAA
This is a long non-coding RNA of Leguminivora glycinivorella, 1056 nucleotides long. RefSeq lists it as uncharacterized. The transcript has 2 exons. The record is from RefSeq and is a predicted model, not a curated record. NCBI's taxonomy places the organism in Eukaryota, Metazoa, Arthropoda, Insecta, Lepidoptera, Tortricidae.